Brachypodium distachyon (stiff brome) is the source of this 133-nucleotide non-coding RNA. Lineage: Eukaryota; Viridiplantae; Streptophyta; Magnoliopsida; Poales; Poaceae. The record is from Rfam.
AUAAUAUUCCUCCGUCCAACAAAGAAUGUCUCAAAUUUGCCUAAAUUUGAAUGCACAUAUACACUAUCAUAUCUAGAUACAUCUAAAUUUUGACAAACUUGAGACAUCUUUUGUUGGAUGGAGGGAGUACUAG